RNAcentral lists this transfer RNA (83 nucleotides) under Schistocephalus solidus. It matches the Rfam family "tRNA". From Rfam's summary of the family: Transfer RNA (tRNA) molecules are approximately 80 nucleotides in length. The record is from Rfam by way of RNAcentral. Lineage: Eukaryota; Metazoa; Platyhelminthes; Cestoda; Diphyllobothriidea; Diphyllobothriidae.
GGCCUCGUAGCUCAGUUGGCUAGAACGUUGGCGGAACUAAAACCUUCCCCUUGCUGGCGUGGAUUCGAAUCCCACCGAGGCCA